This 305-nucleotide ribosomal RNA is filed under the name uncultured bacterium. RNAcentral's name for it is "bacterial SSU rRNA". It matches the Rfam family "Bacterial small subunit ribosomal RNA", at positions 332 to 656 of the family's 1533-position model. The record is from RNAcentral.
CGGCCUACGGGGGGCAGCAGUCGGGAAUAUUGCACAAUGGAGGAAACUCUGAUGCAGUGACACCGCGUAUAGGAAGAAGGUUUUCGGAUUGUAAACUAUUUUAGACAGGGAAGAAAAAAGACAGUACCUGUAGAAUAAGCUCCGGCUAACUACGUGCCAGCAGCCGCGGUAAUACGUAGGGGGCAAGCGUUAUCCGGAUUUACUGGGUGUAAAGGGGGCGCAGACGGCAGCGCAAGCCAGGAGUGAAAGCCCGGGGCCCAACCCCGGGACUGCUCUUGGAACUGCGCGGCUGGAGUGCAGGAGGG